UACGGAGGAUGCGAGCGUUAUCCGGAUUUAUUGGGUUUAAAGGGUGCGUAGGCGGAUCGUUAAGUCAGUGGUCAAAUUGAGGGGCUCAACCCCUUCCCGCCAUUGAAACUGGCGAUCUUGAGUGGAAGAGAAGUAUGCGGAAUGCGUGGUGUAGCGGUGAAAUGCAUAGAUAUCACGCAGAACCCCGAUUGCGAAGGCAGCAUGCCGGCUUCCUACUGACGCUGAAGCACGAAAGCGUGGGGAUCGAACAGG
This 252-nucleotide ribosomal RNA is filed under the name uncultured bacterium. Its description in RNAcentral is "partial 16S ribosomal RNA". It matches the Rfam family "Bacterial small subunit ribosomal RNA", at positions 524 to 776 of the family's 1533-position model. The record is from RNAcentral.